CAUAUUUUAGACGAAGAAAAUCUUUAUAAAUUGUAUUACAAACUUACAUAGUCACGUUUCGCUGCAUUCCGCCGAGAUUGUUUCUUAAAACUGUUUCGAGGUAUUUUCCACAGGUUCUUUUUGCCAUACAAUGUUUUAUAUACUCAUUCUUGUGCCAAAAUUUAGUUAAAUUCGUCCACAUUUGUUAUAAAUACUUAUUUAAAUUUCGCCGCCAUAUUGGAUUUUGUUGUUUUGAUUUCCCGCUCCCCCCAGACAUCACGA
Molecule: long non-coding RNA, 261 nt
Filed under: Paramuricea clavata
Lineage: Eukaryota; Metazoa; Cnidaria; Anthozoa; Malacalcyonacea; Plexauridae
Source: RNAcentral